This 253-nucleotide ribosomal RNA is filed under the name uncultured bacterium. RNAcentral's name for it is "partial 16S ribosomal RNA". It matches the Rfam family "Bacterial small subunit ribosomal RNA", at positions 524 to 776 of the family's 1533-position model. The record is from RNAcentral.
UACGAAGGUGGCGAGCGUUGUUCGGAAUCAUUGGGCGUAAAGGGCGCGUAGGCGGAUUCGUAAGUCGAUUGUGAAAUCCCUGGGCUUAACCCGGGAAUGGCAGUCGAAACUGUGAGUCUUGAGUACUGCAGAGGAUGGUGGAAUUCCUGGAGUAGAAGUGAAAUUCGUAGAUAUCAGGAGGAACACCGGAGGCGAAGGCGGCCAUCUGGGCAGUCACUGACGCUGAGGCGCGAAAGCGUGGGGAGCAAACAGG